Molecule: ribosomal RNA, 440 nt
Filed under: uncultured bacterium
Lineage: Bacteria
Description: partial 16S ribosomal RNA
Rfam family: Bacterial small subunit ribosomal RNA
Source: RNAcentral
CCUACGGGUGGCAGCAGUGGGGAAUAUUGCACAAUGGGCGAAACCCUGACGCAGCGACGCCGCGUGAGGGAUGAAGGAAUUCGUUAUGUAAAGCUCUAUCAGCAGGGAAGAAAAUGACGGUAGCUGAUUAAGAAGCACCGGCUAACUACGUGCCAGCAGCCGCGGUAAUACGGAGGGGGCAAGCGUUAUCCGGAUUUACUGGGGGUAAAGGGAGCGUAGACGGCAGUGCAAGUCAGGGGUGAAAGGCGGGGGCUCAACCUCCGGACUGCUCUGGAAACUGUACGGCUGGAGUGCGGGAGAGGUAAGUGGAAUUCCUAGUGUAGCGGUGAAAUGCGUAGAUAUUAGGAGGAACACCAGUGGCGAAGGCGGCUUACUGGACUGUAACUGACGUUGAGGCUCGAAAGCGUGGGGAGCAAACAGGAUUAGAUACCCUUGUAGUC